AGAGGUGGGCCUGUGCAAGCCCCAUGAAAUUCAACAAGGCCGUGUGCAAGGUCCUGCACUGAAGCAGGCCCAGGGCCUGCAAUGGCUCCUUGGUCGUCAGAAGCCUGAGCUAGGAAAUGCCAAGUCAUGAUGACUGGACCUUAGAAGCCCCUCUCUUCUGCCUUCAGACCCUGCUUAUCUCACUGUAAGCCUAUAGGUCACUUUCCCUUGACCCUUACUAUUGGACAAUUUCCAAAACCCCUGUAAGGUAUAUAAACCCUUACUUCUGCCUAGUUUGGCAGAAGAGCUGUCACUGUGAACCUUCAUGGAAGACCCCAGUAAAGAAUUCUUCGGAACCUCACACAGCCCUUGUCCUUUCUCUCCCAAUGUCUGCUGCGGCACCUAGCAAGCAAAAGAGCUGAAAUCACAAAGAGCUAUCAAUCACAAAGAGCUGACAUCACCUGAGCUUGCUAAGGUUGCCUGCGGCUGGGAGCUGCUUGGGAGUUCAGACAUGCUGUGCUGAGCACCACUGAGCUAUCUGGACAAGGCAGCCCACCGGGCAUAGCCCGGCUGGUAGCCGCCAAUAAACUGGCGCCUGAACACUGCUACAACUGUGGAGCAGCAUUUCUUCUUGAAAUUGUUACUGCCUUUGCUCACCAAGACCCCCUGAAGAAAAGCCCUCUGUUAUAGCAGGACUCUUCUCCAGGCCUGUCAGUCGACCCUCACUGCUGACAUCUGGAUGACUGUCUGAGGAGACUGACAAAGCAGACACCCUCCAGCAGACCUUCGACCCACAUCCCGCUGAAGAAGUGCAGGCAUAGACAGCACCUGAACAGUGACUGCAGCCCUCCUGUACUACAGCAGGAAGCAGCUGCACCUGCUAGAACUGAGUGCAGAAAGCCUGCGGCUUGGUUUAAAAGAUUUAAGCUGCUUCCCAAGUGUGAGUAUUGACAGAGCAACUCUUUUGUAUGUCACUCCAUGGGGCAUUCAGAAGGAGAAGUCCUGCCAACUUACACAAGAGAUUUGACAGCUUCAGAACAUUCCCUCCUGCCACUGAAGAGCUUAUCUGCUAUGUUCAUCAGCUGGUGCAUAGCUCCAGACAUUCUGCCCCUGCAAGAACUGGUGACAUAACCCAGGCUGGACAGAUGUUGAGCUGUAAGUUAUCUCUGGCACCAGGGAGGAGAGAUCCCCAUCUGACAAUAAAUAUCUCGCCUUGACGCAAGAUGUAGGGAGAUAAGCUAGGAAUUCCCGACUGUGAGACACAUUACUUUAAUAAUUAUAAAAGCUAUACAAAUUUUCAUGGAGGUACAAGUGUCUUACACACACCCUGGAAAUGUGCAUAACUUCUCCCAUGAGUUCGGAUGUAAGUUCUGCAGUUAUAUUCUACGGAAUUGAGAGGAAGGAUCCUAUGUGUUCCCCAUCAGCAAUCGGAUGGUAAAUUACAUGGAAUCCUAAUCUAUGCUAUAUCUUUACUCGCUGUAAUAUUAGGUACCUCAGUUGUGCACUACAUAUUAUCUGGUAGUAGUGUUUCUUUAAUUUAUCCUCUGUAGUAUGUAAUCUGUUGAAGUCUUAUGUCUGUUAAAUUUGUGUUAAUUAAAUAAUUCAUUUUGUAAUUUACCUAAUCGACUAUUAUUAAGAAGCUGUGAGGGAGAGUGAUCUGGGCUGCAGGCUACCCACAACAGUCCUACUGCCAGAAAUCUGAGUCAAAGGCAGGACUUAAGCUCUCCUCUACAUUCGUAGCAAUGUACACCAAGAACAUUGCAAAGAAUAUUAUGGACUUCAAUAUUUGUUGACACUUUACACAUAUAGCCAUUUCCAAUUAACCAAAGUAUCUCAGAUCAUUAAAAAAAUGGUUGUUCACUCUAAAUUUUUUGUUGAUUUAAUUACAUAUACUUAUAUUUCUGCAGCAGUUUGUAUUUGGGUAACCCAAAUUUUGGGUUACAAUCCAA
Long non-coding RNA from Passer domesticus (house sparrow), 1928 nucleotides. RefSeq lists it as uncharacterized. NCBI's taxonomy places the organism in Eukaryota, Metazoa, Chordata, Aves, Passeriformes, Passeridae. The record is from RefSeq and is a predicted model, not a curated record. The transcript has 3 exons.